This 76-nucleotide transfer RNA is filed under the name Marinomonas primoryensis. Its description in RNAcentral is "tRNA-Asp". It matches the Rfam family "tRNA". Rfam says of the family: Transfer RNA (tRNA) molecules are approximately 80 nucleotides in length. Their secondary structure includes four short double-helical elements and three loops (D, anti-codon, and T loops). The record is from RNAcentral. Lineage: Bacteria; Pseudomonadati; Pseudomonadota; Gammaproteobacteria; Oceanospirillales; Oceanospirillaceae.
GGAGUGGUAGUUCAGUUGGUUAGAAUACCUGCCUGUCACGCAGGGGUCGCGGGUUCGAGUCCCGUCCAUUCCGCCA